This 230-nucleotide ribosomal RNA is filed under the name uncultured bacterium. RNAcentral's name for it is "partial 16S ribosomal RNA". It matches the Rfam family "Bacterial small subunit ribosomal RNA", at positions 104 to 334 of the family's 1533-position model. The record is from RNAcentral.
CGGGGUGGAGUAAUGUCUGGGAAACUGCCCGAUGGAGGGGGAUAACUACUGGAAACGGUAGCUAAUACCGCAUAACGUCGCAAGACCAAAGAGGGGGACCUUAGGGCCUCUUGCCAUCGGAUGUGCCCAGAUGGGAUUAGCUAGUAGGUGGGGUAAUGGCUCACCUAGGCGACGAUCCCUAGCUGGUCUGAGAGGAUGACCAGCCACACUGGAACUGAGACACGGUCCAG